RNA transcript from Acinonyx jubatus (cheetah), 3220 nucleotides. It is a transcript of the gene named exosome component 9, with no coding region annotated. The transcript is spliced from 16 exons. NCBI's taxonomy places the organism in Eukaryota, Metazoa, Chordata, Mammalia, Carnivora, Felidae. The record is from RefSeq and is a predicted model, not a curated record.
GACGUAAAUUUCCUGCGCGUCCGAGCGAGCCGAGACGCGUGAAGGGGACCAAGUUCACUUUUCCCUGCGGAUUCCGGUGCUAGUGUGGCCUGUGCUCCUACAGCAUGAAGGAGACGCCACUUUCAAACUGCGAGCGCCGUUUCCUACUCCGCGCCAUCGAAGAGAAGAAGCGGCUGGAUGGCAGACAAACCUAUGAUUAUAGGAACAUCAAGAUCACGUUUGGAACAGAUUAUGGAUGCUGUAUUGUGGAACUUGGGAAAACAAGAGUUCUUGGACAGGUUUCCUGUGAACUUGUUUCUCCAAAACUCAAUAGGGCAACAGAAGGUAUUCUUUUUUUUAACCUUGAACUCUCUCAGAUGGCUGCCCCAGCUUUUGAACCUGGCAGGCAGUCAGAUCUCUUGGUGAAGUUGAAUAGACUCUUGGAAAGAUGUCUAAGAAAUUCGAAGUGUAUAGACACUGAAUCUCUCUGUGUUGUUGCUGGUGAAAAGGUUUGGCAGAUACGUGUGGACCUACAUUUAUUAAAUCACGACGGGAAUAUUAUUGAUGCUGCCAGCAUUGCUGCAAUUGUAGCCUUGUGUCACUUCCGAAGACCUGAUGUCUCUGUCCAAGGAGAUGAAGUAACACUGUAUACACCUGAAGAGCGUGAUCCUGUACCGCUGAGCAUCCACCACAUGCCCAUUUGUGUCAGUUUUGCUUUCUUCCAGCAAGGUACAUAUUUAUUGGUGGAUCCCAACGAACGAGAAGAACGUGUAAUGGAUGGCUUGCUGGUGAUUGCCAUGAACAAGCAUCGAGAGAUUUGUACUAUCCAAUCCAGUGGUGGGAUAAUGCUGCUGAAGGAUCAAGUAUUGAGAUGUAGUAAAAUAGCUGGUGUGAAAGUAUUGGAAAUUACAGAGCUAAUACAGAAGGCUUUGGAGAAUGACCAGAAAGUUAGGAAAGAAGGUGGCAAGUUUGGCUUUGCAGAGUCUAUAGCAAGCCAAAGAAUCACAGCAUUUAAAAUGGAAAAGGCCCCUAUUGAUACCUCUGAUGUGGAAGAGAAAGCAGAAGAAAUUAUUGCGGAAGCUGAACCUCCUUCAGAAGUUGUUUCUAAACCUGUGCUUUGGACUCCUGGAACUGCCCAAAUUGGAGAGGGAAUAGAAAACUCCUGGGGUGAUCUUGAAGAUUCUGAGAAGGAAGAGGAUGAUGAAGGUGGCAGUGAUGAAGCUAUCAUUCUUGAUAGUAUAAAAAUGGACACUAGAGAAGUCUCCAAUAUUGGAAGUCAAGAUGCCCCCAUAGUACUCUCAGACAGUGAAGAAGAAGAAAUGAUCAUUUUAGAACCAGACAAGAAUCCAAAGAAAAUAAGGGAGGAACAGUGACAUGCUCAUCAUUUAUAGGAAGAUCCUUAAGAGGUGCAACCUAAAAAGAAAUAAAUAUUUGGCUUUGAGCCUGUUGAAUGGAGUUUUGGUUUCUUCCCCUUAUGGGUCUCAGUGUCUGCUUUUUACUCCCAAAUACUCAGGAAAUUAAACUGGGGCUAAGUCCAUGCGGUAAAGUUUGAGUGGCUGAAGAAAGGGAUGUUCAAAUUCGUUACAGGCAUUCCUACAUAAGUUAUAAAAAGAGUCACACUAAGUGGAAGAUACAAAACUAAUCAAGGCCACAAGAUGGGUGGAGGGGCAGGCUGAGAAAUGACAAGUUUAGGAGAGCCGGCAAAGAGGUGUCGGUUCACUACUUUCGCCCAAGGGUGGAGCAACCGAGCAAAUGCGGCAAAAUGGCGGAAUUUACUAAAAGCAAAGUAUUUUUUAUACCCUUUCUUAAAGUUGAGGUAAUCUUAACCAUUUGGAGAGGGGAAGGAGGUCCAGAUACUAGGGCAGGGCCUGGGGUUUAAAGCGGCGAGAAAAGCGGGGACACACGUAGGACUUGAUGAGGGUUUGGUUUGACCCCCAUUAUCUAUAGAAAAACAUCCCCAAUAAACAGCAGACAGGCAACAUAACAGCUGGCGAAGAGAGCAAUGGGGGAGAAGCUAUUAAGUGGCAUCCCACACGCCAGAAAACUAGGGAUCAAGGUGACUCAAGACCCAGGGCUCCCUUUAAAAAAGCUCGGAAGAUGCUUUCUUGCCACGCUCCUCGGCCUGCUAAACCUCGUGCAAAACUCCCUCUCGGCCCACCCUCCUGCAGAUACCGCUCAUCUCUUUACCCGUCGUGUCUUGGGCCUCUGCUGCGGUGCUGGAACGCGCGGAUUCCCAGCCUUGAGUACGGCCAGCCCGGCACGAGUGCGGGGCUGCUGGGUGGGCGCCACCUUCUCAGGGUUGAUGUUCUCCUGGUCCUCUUGGAGCUCCGUAUGCUGCAAUGCUAGCAGCGCCGAGCCCGCCUCGCGGGACGCAGGCCCCGGCGCGGAGCUGCCCAACAUCACUGCUCCCGGGGUCGCGGCGGAAUCAGCCUGGGGCGCCUAGCGGCGUGUACUCCGUCCCGCCGACCCCAACAAGAAACGCUCCAGCCGUAGCAAUCCGCCGCAGCCCGGGCCAGCCUGCCCGCUUGAGAUCACGGAGUUCCAAGUAAGUUGAGAAAGGCGUAGGCAGGAACUGCCGGGCGUGGAGGGCUAAAGACGCCCCCGAGAUGUCGCGAGCAGCCCGCCGGAGCGGCGGCUGUUCAUGCAGUUCAAGUAUCCCGCGACUAUUGAAAUGAGCCAAUGGAAAGGGCCGACGCCCGUGACGUCACUCUGGGCGACACAGUCGCAGGCGAAUGAAGGCGGCCGCGAAGGCCACGGAACAGAGGCGGAGAAACGCCGAACGGCGGCGGGAGGGAAAACGCCUGCGCCGAGCGAAGAGGCGGGUCCCGAGUUUCUGGUGACUUUAAACUGGGCCACUAGCCUCAAAGAAAGCAAUCAAUGCAUUUUGAUCAUAACUGUCCAGAAUCUCCAGUAAAAGAGCUCAACAAAGUGCUAUUAUUUCCGACCCCCAAAAAAGAAAACUGAAGCUCAGAGAGUUAAAUAAUCCAGAACAACCGUUCCAGACCUUAUUUUCCCUAACUUCUCUCCAGGAGCCACACUUAGUUCUGGGACUGCUAGUGUGUGCUAGUACUGAACAGAAAGAAGUGAUAUAUUAAGCAUAUCCAAAAGCUCUGAUACAAUCUCAUCCAAGAUACUUUACACAUGGUGCUGAAUGAACAAAACAGACAUAAGCUUCUCAUGAGCUUACAUUCCACUGGAAUCAGGAGGGACAGACUCGGUUAUAAAUGUAAGGUAUACUGAC